AUUUGGAGAGGUAAAUGUUCCAGCAGCUUCGUAUAGGGAAGAGCCGCAGCAAGAUGUUCCAGCAGCUUCACAUAAGGAGGAGGAGGAGCUGCUUUUACCUUUUGUGAUAAAAAGGAUGGUGAAAACGGCGGUUGCCGAAGCUAUGAAGGAUGUGUAUAAGAGAUUGGAGAAGCUUGAGAGGGAAGCUGAAGCAAGGAAAGAUGGAGAAUGGGAUGAGGCGGGUGUUAGAGGUUGUUUUGAGAAGAAUGGUGUUGACACAUUUGAUGAUGAGACAGGUUUUGAGAAGAAUGGUGAGCCGGCUUUUGAGAAGAAUGUUGAGUCUGGUUUUGAGGAGAAUGUUGAGCCAGCUGUUGGAGGUGAUGAUACAGUUGAUGAUGGCUCUAUUGGUGGGCAGAAAACUGGGGGUGAUGAGGCAGCUGAGUUACAGAUGGUUGGUGAAAAGGAAACUGGGGGUGAUGAGGCGGCUGAGUUACAAAUGGUUGGUGAAAAGAAAACUGGUGGGGAUAUCGUAAAAAAGCAGAAGUUCAAGCAGUGUGCUAAGAAGAAAUGUAACUUGGCACCGAAAAGGAAACUAAAGCCUUCAAUCCAUGUCAAGGCUCGUUACCUGCCCAGUCUAAACCCGAUUCACUUAUAGGAGGUGAUUCAGUAAAGAAUGCCUCAAAGUCAAGCGGGUUGAAGGCCGAAGUAGGAAGAGCUGCCAAGCGACUCCGUUUUUCAGAAAGGUUAGUCGACAGCUCGGUCCUUUCUUGCUCCUCGGAGAAAUCUGCUUCAUGGAUUUGAUCCAGCAGAAUCAGGUUGCUUUCAUGCUCCUUGAUGUCUGACUCCAAGUCCGACCUAGCCUUCUCGGUUUGCAUGAAGCGAAUGGCCCCUUGGAUCAGCUCCAUCCCGCGUCCCUUAACCUCCUUUCUGGCCUUCGAUGCCGACCUUGCCAACUCGGAGUCACGCAAUUUGGCAAUCGCCUUGUAUUUCGCGUUAAGCUCGAUGAGUUGGUUGUUCAGGGAAUCAGCGUUUGAUUCGGACUCUUGAAGCCUACCCUGAACACCAGAAAACUCUUCCUGAAGCUUGAAGUUCUGGUCGUACUGACCCUGCAGCUCCCCCUUUAUCUGCGCAAGCUCCGAUGUUAAACUGUCGACCUUGUCCUCCAGAUCGUGCUUGGAGCCGACAGAAGAACUAAGUUCAGCCUCAAGGGAAGAGAGGCUGUCCAUACGUCAAUCUCCUUCUCCCGUCCAAGGACCAACCCUUCGUAAUGUUCGAUCAUGUCGUUAAGUUCGCUAUGAGCCUGGUGUCAUACAUGAACCCGGGAUGACGAGUCAGUUCGCAGAAUGGCAAUACAAUAAAAAAUAUAUACAUAAAAGAAAGCGGAACUAACCCGAGAUGAGUGAUGCGCGUGAAGCAAAUAACGUUCACGAAUCGCAGGGCGCCAUUUGUCGAAGUCUGGCAAGAUCGAACCCGACCGGGUCUUGAAGCAUCGGAAGACGCUGCCCUCUUUCUCCAUAGCUGCGAAGAAGGAAGAGUUGUAAAAAUUGGAAUUUUAAUAAAGACAAAAAGUUUAAGUAUGUGUAAAUCACCAAACCUGAAAGCGAUUUGACUUGAGGGACAAGAGCAGGCUUCAGCCUCGAGGGAGCAUCUCGAGAUUCAGAAUCUCCCUUUUUCGGAGACGCGCUCCGGGCAGUCUUUCCACUAUCCGGCUGGGAAGAGGAGGACAUGUCAACCGGUCGUGGAGGGCCCAUUGGUUCAGAAGGAGGGGAUGACCGAGGUGAGCGGUCAGUCCGGGCCCUUGACUUUUCCCUCUGCGGGGAAGGAUCACUGCGAGAGGACUUGUCUCUCUUCCGGCGAACCAAGUUCUUAAUUGGCUCGUUACUAAAAUCAUCUCGGGGAGGACGUUGUGAAUCACGGCGAGGAGAUUGAUCCCUCCGAGGAGAACGUGAGUCGCGGCGGUCGCGACGAGGAGUUAGUCUGAAGGAAGCAACUGAUCGGGCUCCCUCGGUACUGCCAUCAUCAACCAGCAAGGUCCUACUAUAUUCCUUCUUGUCUAUAGAAGUCGCGAGAAACUUUUUCUUCUCCUCGCAAGCCUCAGCCAUCGGCUUGGAAAGCAACUUACGCUUGGCCGCAAGGGCCCGAGAUGACAUUCCCUGAGUUGAGGGAGGGGGAGGAAUUUGGUGAAGAUGACCAGGCGGGCUCAUCCUGAGUCUGUGGUUAGCCUCUAGGAAUCGUUCAAGAGUGAAGGAAUUCCAAAGGGUUUCCCCUUCAAGAAUUAUUUUGAAGAAUUCGAUGAACUCUUCAGAUGGGAGAUUGGAAGCGAUGAAAGCUGCGAAAUAAAACAACGGUGUUAGUCAAUAAAGAUAAAGAAACAACCAGGAAAGAUACGGGCAACCUAAUCACUACCGGGUUUCGCGGACCACUUCGAAGGGAGAAAAUCUGCGAGAUUUCCAAUCGAAGCGGGAGUUUUCUUAAUUAGAAACCAAGGAUGAUGCCAAUUUUCAUCCUUGUUCGGAAGAUGAGAAAUGAUGUUCCUGUUGGCAUUAGGAUAUGCUGAGAAGUACCCCGCUUUCUUCGAUGAACUUCUCACACUCAGAAGCUCAUUUAGUUCAGCAACUCCGAUAACGUAACCGGCCUCCGCCGCGAUUGUUAUGAUGCCGAGAAUAGUACGAAGAAGAUUGGGGGUUAAUUGAGGAAGAGCGAUUUCAAGGGCCGCUAGGUAUAAAAUUAGGGCUUCGGGAAGAGGAAAGGUCAGCCCGCAACCCUUGAAAUAAAUCUCAUACACACAGAAGUAACCAUCGCGAUGGUUCUCUGGAGAUUCUGUGGGGGAAGCUAUUUGUGCUUCCGCCAUAAUUUCCGGCGGAAUCCGGCAAAGCUCUCUCAAUCGCUCGAGGGAUUGAAGAGUACAAAUGGACCUAUAGUGCGGACCGGCAAUAUCACCAGGGCGGGUGCACUCGUCGUUACUAGAACGCCUCUCGUCGAAAGACGGAGACUCGGGUCUAUCGGAAUCAGAAGUCAUUGGGAAGAAAGAAAAAUUCAAGAUCCGGCGAAGAGGGGUUUUGGUGAAGGAACGGAGAGAGAGGUUUUGAUUAAAGUAUAAAAGUAAAAGAAGAGAGUAAUGGUGAAAAGAAGUUACCUCAAGCUAAUGAUGAAACCGCCUUGGAAGUCGUGUGGGAAGUGGGAAGGUUUUUCCCGUUUUAAUAGUAAUUAAUCAAUAUACGGUCAUAAUGAUGACAGAUGUCACUCGGUUAAAAAUGGCUAGUGCCGAAAUUAAAGGAGUGAUGGGAUUUUCGGCGGGAAAUCAGAAAGAUUCUCGAGCGCAAUCUUUGGCCACUUGAGCAUUUAAAGUCCUCCGAAUUGGAAUAGCACUUCGAAGAACUUGGGGGGCUAAUUGUUGGUGUCGGAUCCCGCACCAGAAGUACGAGACCAACCAAAGAUUGCCACGUAGUCAAGCGGGUGGCCCAUAAAGGAUGAAGCCCAUUGGGCCCGUGAACCGAGGGGACGGUCGAAGUGGUUGUCACCACUUCGAGAGUCCGAAGUGAAUGUACUGGGACGCGAGUUCGGUGUAGAAGACACGGGUAAGUCGGUUCAAGGACGCUUGGGCCAGAAAAGGCGAGGCCCAUGAAGAUCAGAGUCAACUCAAAUUCAAACGUUGAGCAUUAAAGUCGAAGAAUCAAAACGGACACAUUUAAGAAGGAAUAAUUGUACUUAAUUAUUCAUUUUAAUGCCAUUUCUCUAUGUAUAAAUAUAAAGGCCAAUGGCCAUGUAAAGGGGACCUUCCUCUCAAGAGAGAAAUACUAUAGCAAUUUUCGUAUCAAUUUACAAGUUUUUAUACGUUCAUUUUUGUCCCUCAAGAAUAAUCUUUCCUAUUUAAUAAAAUACUUGAGUGUGUGAAUCCGACAUCCACAAUGACGACUAUUUAUUUCCAGGGUUCAUAAUUUCUCUAGAGGUAAGAAAGUAGUUUUAUUAAUAAGUGUAUAUCUGUUUUGAAUGAUUAAAGAUAUGUGAUAUGUGAUAUGUGAUAAUAUGUACAGGUUUUGGCAUUUGAGUGCAUUCUCGAGCUGUCCAAACGAUUUCAAAUAGCUGUAAGAGGCGCAAAGGAUCAAUGUCCACUGAUGUGUAAGCGUAAAUUCAAAGAAACUGGAAUGUCUGGUUUUCCACUUGAAGAACUGAACAAUGCACUAGGGACAACUAAGGUAAGGUCUAGUGUCAAUUAUGCUUUACUGCAAGAUAGACAUUGUGGUAAUUCUUGUGUUGUAUAAUCUUUGCAGGACAUCAUUAGUAUCCUUAAACCAUCAGCGGGUGAGGAAGCUUUUUUGCUUAGCAUUAUGGAGCGAGCUGAAGUUGAAGAUUCAAUAGAUCCUAUAGCUGAUGCGUGGAACAACCGUCUUGAUGUAGAACAGAAAAGUAUUUGGUGGGAGAAUCUGUAUAAGUUAGAUGUUGCUGCUCGAGGAUUUGGAGAGGUAAAUGUUCCAGCAGCUUCGUAUAGGGAAGAGCCGCAGCAAGAUGUUCCAGCAGCUUCACAUAAGGAGGAGGAGGAGCUGCUUUUACCUUUUGUGAUAAAAAGGAUGGUGAAAACGGCGGUUGCCGAAGCUAUGAAGGAUGUGUAUAAGAGAUUGGAGAAGCUUGAGAGGGAAGCUGAAGCAAGGAAAGAUGGAGAAUGGGAUGAGGCGGGUGUUAGAGGUUGUUUUGAGAAGAAUGGUGUUGACACAUUUGAUGAUGAGACAGGUUUUGAGAAGAAUGGUGAGCCGGCUUUUGAGAAGAAUGUUGAGUCUGGUUUUGAGGAGAAUGUUGAGCCAGCUGUUGGAGGUGAUGAUACAGUUGAUGAUGGCUCUAUUGGUGGGCAGAAAACUGGGGGUGAUGAGGCAGCUGAGUUACAGAUGGUUGGUGAAAAGGAAACUGGGGGUGAUGAGGCGGCUGAGUUACAAAUGGUUGGUGAAAAGAAAACUGGUGGGGAUAUCGUAAAAAAGCAGAAGUUCAAGCAGUGUGCUAAGAAGAAAUGUAACUUGGCACCGAAAAGGAAACUAAAGCCUUCAAUCCAUGUCAAGGCU
This 5030-nucleotide long non-coding RNA is filed under the name Arabidopsis lyrata. Its description in RNAcentral is "long non-coding RNA (ALYR_LNC000151)". Lineage: Eukaryota; Viridiplantae; Streptophyta; Magnoliopsida; Brassicales; Brassicaceae. The record is from RNAcentral.